RNA transcript from Venturia canescens, 1750 nucleotides. RefSeq lists it as uncharacterized. NCBI's taxonomy places the organism in Eukaryota, Metazoa, Arthropoda, Insecta, Hymenoptera, Ichneumonidae. The record is from RefSeq and is a predicted model, not a curated record. The transcript is spliced from 8 exons.
UAAUCGUUUGGUAGUGAUUGUUAGAUCAAUUGAGACAUUUUUAAAAAAUAUAAUCACUCUAAAAUACGAAAUUACAAAUUUCGCUGAUAUGAAUAUAUAGAUAUACGCACGUUUUCGUGGUUGCCCAGGUUGCACGUAUAUUGACGUGUUAGGUUAUGAUCCCCGAAGAGCUAUUGGGUGCGGAGUGCAAUUCAAUAAAUGAUGAAUCAUGGUUAAUUAAAAGUAAAUAGGAGCGAGCCUCCAAAGUAUCAGGAAAUAUCCGGCGAUUUACAGAGCUGCAGUUUAAUUGCAAUCAGAGUUUUACCUCUAGUAUUACUUCAGGAAAAUCAAGUUCAACCUGGAUUGCAAGUUUUCAGGACGUCAUCCUGGACGGACAAGCAGAAUAUAGAUUCUUGCGUAUUUGUUAGGAGGCGUUAUCAUCUUUCAAUGGGGCGAGACACAAGGUCACCGUCUUCUGCUGCCUCAAAUAUUCUCAGCAAAGAGCUUCAAUUUACGAUUUAUUUUGUUCGGGUUCACCACUGUCAGAUUCUUUGGCACUGCGAACUAUCACACCCAAAACCAUGCAGGCUUGACUUUGCAAGAGAUUUAACAAUAUAUUUCACUAGAACGGUCCGGUCGCUUAUAGAGUGGCAAUAUCUGUUUUUCAGUGGUUAUGAUAGGAAAAUAAUGAUGACAGCGUUGUCGAACGUCCUUGAGCACCGUGUGACUAACAAUGACACGAGAUUGAACGAGAUCACAGUCAAAGUAACGAGUCAAUUUUUUUACAUAACGAAGGCGGCGUUAGAACGAGAAGCAAAUUUCUCACGCUACCUUUUCAGUGGACUAUCAUUCCUGUGCUUGUCACAAUUGUGAAAUUUUGUAAAUGAAUUGUCGACUGAUGUGGAAGCAAUUGCCGUGAAAAAUGACACCGAGGCUUUGGAUAGCGGGAAUGACGAGAACGGUGGAGACACGAUACUUGAUCCAGACGACGGCUCUGAUUUACUUCGUAUCGUUGAUGAGGAUGAAGAAGAGGAGGAUCUAGAUCUGCUAUAAGAUUCAAUUCAUCAUAGAAAUUUGAACCAGUAUAUCCAAGAUUUCCUAACAAAUUUCUUGUCGCAGAACUGCUUCCAAGCUUUCGUUGAGCAUCUGACACCACCGGUUCUCACGAAUUUGAAUAUAAACGCGAGUUAUGAGUCAAAGAGUAAUGAUAAGAAAUGAAAUAUAAAUUAAUCACAAAGCAGACCGCCAUGGAGCAAGUGUCGUUCGUGAUUUCCGUACAAGAAUAAGCACCCGUGACUCCUUUACCGCUCCAGAUUUGCCGGAUGCCUUAAACAGUAUUUUUCUUGUCCUCGCGAACAUCCAGGAACCACCGAUUGAACAGUCCACGGUCUCCGACGCCACGUAAACAUCGACAUAAAUACAAAUUCUAAAAAAAAAGAGUUAUAAAAAACGGAAAAAAGUCAAAAAAAGACUUCAACUCGUGAAAGUUGAAAAAAACUUGAUCUCAUCCGCUUUUUUUGUCUACAUAUUCGAACAGAUUUCGACCGAAAUCGUUGUUCGGUAACAGGAGAAUCUAUAAAUCUAUAUACUGAGCUUAGUUAAUCAAUUUUUAUCAGAUAAUACGCUUUUUUCAAUCUUCUUGAUAAUUUUUUUCUGUAACGACUCAAUGACCGAUUAUAUUUAUUGGUAAAUAAAUUCCAGCUAGGCGUAAGCAUCUAUGUCGACAAUUUCUAUGAAAAAUCAAAUAAAACCUUUCAAAUAUUCAUGAGAA